Molecule: ribosomal RNA, 540 nt
Filed under: uncultured bacterium
Lineage: Bacteria
Description: partial 16S ribosomal RNA
Rfam family: Bacterial small subunit ribosomal RNA
Source: RNAcentral
UGGGGAAUAUUGGACAAUGGGCGCAAGCCUGAUCCAGCCAUGCCGCGUGAGUGAUGAAGGCCUUAGGGUUGUAAAGCUCUUUCGCCGACGAAGAUAAUGACGGUAGUCGGAGAAGAAGCCCCGGCUAACUUCGUGCCAGCAGCCGCGGUAAUACGAAGGGGGCUAGCGUUGUUCGGAAUCACUGGGCGUAAAGCGCACGUAGGCGGAUUGUUAAGUCAGGGGUGAAAGCCUGGAGCUCAACUCCAGAACUGCCCUUGAUACUGGCAAUCUCGAGUCCGGAAGAGGUAAGUGGAACUGCGAGUGUAGAGGUGAAAUUCGUAGAUAUUCGCAAGAACACCAGUGGCGAAGGCGGCUUACUGGUCCGGUACUGACGCUGAGGUGCGAAAGCGUGGGGAGCAAAACAGGAUUAGAUACCCUGGUAGUCCACGCCGUAAAACGAUGGAGGCUAGCCGUUGGCGAGCAUGCUCGUCAGUGGCGCAGCUAACGCAUUAAGCCUCCCGCCCUGGGGGAGUACGGUCGCAAGAUUAAAACUCAAAUGAA